AUUAAGGAAGGCACACAGUCCUCUCCCGAUUCUUAGGAACCCAAGCUCAGUCCCCAACCCCCAACGCAAACACGCAAACACACACAGUCCAGAGCCAACGGAGGGACAUCCUUAGGAACAUCAGGCUGAAGCCCAAAGUGCUCAAUUUAAGAAGAAAAAAAAGGUUACGGGAGACUUUACACACAGAAAGAAAGUGACAUGAAGGAAAAACGGCACUUAAAAAUGGCAGCCUUGAAGACGGAAGUGGUGUGUCCACCCGUCAAAGGACGCUGGUCGCCACCGGAAGCUCUGUGAGGCAAGGAACCGAUUGUGCUAGGAGCCUCUGACGGAGGCAGGGCCCUGCUGGCGCCUGAUUUGGGCCCCGUGAGGCUGACUUUGGACUUUUGAGCUCCAGAACUAUCAGAGAAUAAAGUGCGUUAUUUUAAGUCA
Long non-coding RNA from Suricata suricatta (meerkat), 429 nucleotides. RefSeq lists it as uncharacterized. NCBI's taxonomy places the organism in Eukaryota, Metazoa, Chordata, Mammalia, Carnivora, Herpestidae. The transcript has 2 exons. The record is from RefSeq and is a predicted model, not a curated record.